UCUCGGUGAUGAUCAUAACGAUGACGAGUCUGAUGAAAUUUCCAUUCAAAAAAAUCGUGAGGACAUAACGAGGCAUUUGUCUGAGAGAA
Small nucleolar RNA from Lathyrus oleraceus (garden pea), 89 nucleotides. The record is from RefSeq and is a predicted model, not a curated record. NCBI's taxonomy places the organism in Eukaryota, Viridiplantae, Streptophyta, Magnoliopsida, Fabales, Fabaceae.